RNAcentral lists this ribosomal RNA (216 nucleotides) under Campeiostachys nutans. RNAcentral's name for it is "Elymus nutans partial small subunit ribosomal RNA". The stretch from base 38 to 216 matches the Rfam family "Eukaryotic small subunit ribosomal RNA", at positions 684 to 864 of the family's 1831-position model. Lineage: Eukaryota; Viridiplantae; Streptophyta; Magnoliopsida; Poales; Poaceae. The record is from RNAcentral.
GGAUCAAUUUGCUGGUUGUGCCUCUGGUACGUACUGGUAUUAUUGGUUUCUCCCUUCUGACGAACCAUGAUGUCAUUAAUUUGAUGUCGUGGAGAAUCAGGACUGUUACUUUGAAAAAGUUAGAGUGUUUAAAGCAGGCUCACGCUUGAAUACAUUAGCAUGGAAUAACGAAAUAGGACGUUUGAUUCUAUUUUGUUGGUUUCUAGGAUCGACGUA